GCAACAAUGAGUUCAGUUCAGGCUUUGAGAGAGUUUAUCAAGCAACGACGAACUGCUGCUGCUGGAGAAAUGUGAACAAACUGUGGUUCAGUAAGAAGUGGAAACCUCCAGUCAAGUCUCACAGAACAGAGAAUCCACAGCAACACAUUGGUCAGCAGAAGAUGAGUUCCAGUGUGGAGCAGGAGGAACAUGAAGCUCCACACAUGAAAGAGGAGGAAGAGCUUGUUGGGGUGACUGUUCCUGAUGGUGAAAGUGACAAUUCCCACCACUGUUUGAGAGACUUCAGCAGCCAGAGACGAACUGCUGCUGCUGUGGAAAUAUUCAGCGUGUUUGAAGAAACUGUGGUCCAGCACGAGAUGGAGAUUGAUGGUCAGCGCAGACACAGAACAGAGCUCCCACGGCACCAUGACUGUAGAGAGGAGCAGCUCUUUAAACAGGAAACAAAAUACUGUCAAGAGCAGGAAGAACCAGAACCUCCACGAAUCAAAGAGGAACCAGAAGAACCAGAACCUCCACAGAUCAA
Long non-coding RNA from Salarias fasciatus (jewelled blenny), 523 nucleotides. RefSeq lists it as uncharacterized. The transcript is spliced from 3 exons. The record is from RefSeq and is a predicted model, not a curated record. Lineage: Eukaryota; Metazoa; Chordata; Actinopteri; Blenniiformes; Blenniidae.